This is a transfer RNA of Sphaerobolus stellatus SS14, 101 nucleotides long. It matches the Rfam family "tRNA". Rfam says of the family: Transfer RNA (tRNA) molecules are approximately 80 nucleotides in length. Their secondary structure includes four short double-helical elements and three loops (D, anti-codon, and T loops). Further hydrogen bonds mediate the characteristic L-shaped molecular structure. tRNAs have two regions of fundamental functional importance: the anti-codon, which is responsible for specific mRNA codon recognition, and the 3' end, to which the tRNAs corresponding amino acid is attached (by aminoacyl-tRNA synthetases). tRNAs cope with the degeneracy of the genetic code in two manners: having more than one tRNA (with a specific anti-codon) for a particular amino acid; and 'wobble' base-pairing, i.e. permitting non-standard base-pairing at the 3rd anti-codon position. NCBI's taxonomy places the organism in Eukaryota, Fungi, Basidiomycota, Agaricomycetes, Geastrales, Sphaerobolaceae. The record is from Rfam.
GCCUUGCUAGUUCAAUCGGUAGAGCGUGAGACUCUUACUUGCAGUCCUUAGCGGGAUGAAUUAUUAUCUCAAGGUUGGGGGUUUGACCCCCCCGUAGGGCU